AGGUGAACCUGCGGAAGGAUCAUUAAUGAAACUUCAAAGUCGGCCAAAGGUUGUUGCUGGUGAUUAUUCACAUGUGCACGCCUUUGGUCGCAAAUCCACACACACCUGUGCAUCUAUGACUCRAGGUUGUAAUGACUGAGAGUAACUUUUAUACACUCUUGUAUGUAAUGGAAUGUCUUUUUGUGCUAUAAUGUACAAUAUAAACAACUUUCAACAACGGAUCUCUUGGCUCUCGCAUCGAUGAAGAACGCAGCGAAAUGCGAUAAGUAAUGUGAAUUGCAGAAUUCAGUGAAUCAUCGAAUCUUUGAACGCACCUUGCACCCUUUGGUAUUCCGAAGGGUACGCCCGUUUGAGUGUCAUUGUAAUCUCACUUCUACAACUUUAUUGUUGUUUGAAUGUGGACUUGGAUGUUGCCGUUUUAUCACGGCUCGUCUUAAAUGCCUGAGUGUACCCUGUUUUGCAGCGUAUCCAGUGUAAUAAACAUUUCACUAGAGUUGGUCGAAAGACYGCRUUGACUAUAUGGGCUCUAUGCUUCAAACCGUCUGCCAUGUGGACAAUUUCUUGACAAUUUGACCUCAAAUCGGGUGGGACUACCCGCUGAACUUAAGCAUAUCAAUAAGCGGAGGAAAAGAAACUAACAAGGAUUCCCCUAGUAACGGCGAGUGAAGAGGGAAAAGCUCAAAUUUUAAAUCUGGUGUCUUUGACUCCCGAGUUGUAAUCUAGAGAAGUGUUUUCCGUGUCGGACCGUGUACAAGUUCCCUGGAACGGGGCGUCAUAGAGGGUGAGAAUCCCGUAUAUGCCACGGACUACCGAUGCUCUGUGAUACACUCUCAACGAGUCGAGUUGUUUGGGAAUGCAGCUCAAAAUGGGUGGUAAAUUCCAUCUAAAGCUAAAUAUUGGCGAGAGACCGAUAGCGAACAAGUACCGUGAGGGAAAGAUGAAAAGCACUUUGGAAAGAGAGUGAAACAGUACGUGAAAUUGUUGAAAGGGAAGCGUUUGAAGUCAGUCGCAUCUGUUGGGGUUCAGCCUGGCUUUUGCCUGGUGUAUUUCCUUUCCGAUGGGUCAGCAUCAGUUUCGACCGAGGGAAAAAGACAUUUGGAAUGUGGCUGUCUUCGGGCAGUGUUAUAGCCUUGUG
This 1135-nucleotide ribosomal RNA is filed under the name uncultured Sebacina. Its description in RNAcentral is "eukaryotic LSU rRNA". The stretch from base 571 to 1135 matches the Rfam family "Eukaryotic large subunit ribosomal RNA", at positions 1 to 568 of the family's 3401-position model. Lineage: Eukaryota; Fungi; Basidiomycota; Agaricomycetes; Sebacinales; Sebacinaceae. The record is from RNAcentral.